Molecule: ribosomal RNA, 494 nt
Filed under: uncultured bacterium
Lineage: Bacteria
Description: partial 16S ribosomal RNA
Rfam family: Bacterial small subunit ribosomal RNA
Source: RNAcentral
GACGAACGCUGGCGGCGCGCUUAACACAUGCAAGUCGAACGGAAAGGCCUGCUUUCCCUUGUGGAUUGCGGGUACUCGAGUGGCGAACGGGUGAGUAACACGUGAGUGAUCUGCCCCCAACUUGGGUAUAAGCCUGGGAAACUGGGUCUAAUUCCCGAUAGGACUGCAGGGUGGUGCCUGUGGUGGAAAACGAUUUUCUAGUGGUUGGGGAUGAGCUCGCGGCCUAUCAGCUUGUUGGUGGGGUAAUGGCCUACCAAGACGGCGACGGGUAGCCGGCCUGAGAGGGUGGACGGCCACAUUGGGACUGAGAUACGGCCCAGACUCCUACGGGAGGCAGCAGUGGGGAAUAUUGCACAAUGGGCGGAAGCCUGAUGCAGCGACGCCGCGUGGGGGAUGACGGCCUUCGGGUUGUAAACUCCUUUCGACCGCGAGGAAGCCACCUGGUUGGAAGGGUGGUGACGGUAGUGGUAGAAGAAGCACCGGCUAACUACGUG